Molecule: small nuclear RNA, 187 nt
Organism: Molossus molossus (Pallas's mastiff bat)
Lineage: Eukaryota; Metazoa; Chordata; Mammalia; Chiroptera; Molossidae
Product: U2 spliceosomal RNA
Exons: 1
Source: RefSeq, a predicted model, not a curated record
AUAGCUUCUUGGCCUUUUGGCUAAGAUCAAAGUAUAGUAGCUUAUCAGUUUAAUGUCUGAUAGGUCCUCUAUCCGAGUAGAAUAUAGUAAACGGAUUUUUGGGAUUGGGAGAUGGAAUAGGAGCUUGCUCCAUCCACUCCACAUAUCGACCUGAUAUUGCAGUACUUCCGGGAACAGUGCAACAAGU